CCACAGAAAUCUCGGGGUACAUGCUCCAAGAGAAAGCUGACCAGGCCACUCACCUCGCUGCCCCCCUGCUCCGAGUGCUCCCCACUGCCCACCAUCACCGUGCCCUCCGACCUCUGGUGUGACAGCUCCAAUUUAUCCUCCCAAAUUCAACACAGACCACGUCUCUCCUGGAACAGUGCUUGUCAAGCAGAGAAAAUGACAGUAAACACAACCAUCGACCCAGCCGGCCAGGACCUGAGGUGAAGGGGUGAUGCGGUGACCAUCUUUGCUUCAGGCCCUCUAGUGGCUCCUGGGAAAGAGCCUCCAGUUCCAAGAAGACCUCAGACCUCAUGGGGUCCCGGGUGCGCCCCCUCCCCGUGCAGGAUCAGAAGAUCCUCUGGAUCUGGAAGGAUGAGCUCAUAGACUGUCUCCAGCAUCCCUCUUGUCACUGAGGACAGAGGACAGCCGAUCCCAUAAAGGGGGCCUUCGUCCCACCGUCGACUUGCUGGGUCUGCUUGGCACCGGGCCUCCGGGCUGCAUCCGACCCUCGAAGUUCCUGCUCGAGACUCACCACUCGACAUCCACGGAAUGACAUGUGUAGAUCAACUUUUGUGGCAUGAAGUAUUUUCAGCUUCGCAGCUGCGCCGAUUUAGAAGGGCUCGUUUCUGCAUUAGAAUGUGGUGCUCUGGAGUUAAUGACCUCUACAGAAUGCCACCUGUCACCCAGAGUGCCGUGGGUGACGGCCGAGAGAUGGGGAGGAGAUCGACGAGGAGGACCCGGACCGGGGUCUCCUGCUUUGCGGGGAUUGGAGACUGAACUUUCCAGACCCUGCCCGGCAGCACGGACUGCAACUCCGGGCGGGCAGCACAAGCUAUCUGGAUGGCUGGGCUUUCCAGAAACCCGAGCAGCUGGCAGCAGAUCGGGGCGACUGUCCUCUGCACCGUGGCGGAUGUGGUGGAGGGCUCUGGAGGCUUUGUCACGAGCACUUAUUAAAAUGGCUGCCAGGACCGAGUGUGCAAGCCCUGCUGUCUCUACUGGGCGCACGGGACUCCCGCGGCUCUGGGAGGGCGGCCCAGCUCCACUCCAGCGGCGGCCUGGGCCCGGCGGGACCCUGGGAGAGAGCUCUCGUCCCCCAGAACUGCCACCUCCCCUCCUGUCCCCGCCAGUCUCCUGCUGUGGAGGGCCUGGUCCCGGGGCGCCUGCCAGGGCACCUGGCUGACCUUGCACAUCUGUUGAAGGAGGUGGGUGGCGGCCCCAGGCCUCUGUGUCUCCAGCUGAUUCAUGUAACUAGGAAUUAGGGGCCCUGGGCUGGAGAGGCAGACGGGGGCUUGCACCCCGGGGGCGGUGGGGGGGGCUCGUGGCCUGCGGAGGGUGGGGGGUGGGGGCGGGCUACAGCCCAGGGUCUGCCCCAAGUCCCCUUGCAUCCCAUAGCCUUCUGUGUCCCUGCCUGGUCUGCAGCGGGGUCCCUGCAUCGUGCCCCCGCCUGGACACACCUGCAUUGUCCGCACUGCUGCCUCUGCCUCCAGGCUGACCGCCUGAGACCCCCGCCCGUGCUCCCCCUCGCCCCCCCCAUCACGCAGCACUAGCCCCCCUGCUCAGGUCCCUCAGGCCUCCUGGAGCCGACCUUGCUGUCAGGGUGGGACUGUCCAUCCCUCUGUCCUGGCCUGGCCGAGCCCAGCGCCGAGGCCUCCACCAUGGGGCUCCCCUCUUAGGAAGCUGGUGUGCAUGCACGUUGUCACCUGCACAGCCCGGUCUGUGUCACCGCGAUGUUCCGCUUGCUGCCAGGUCCCCUCAAACAGUAGCACCCUGCACUGCUGCCCAACGCAGAGGGGAGCCAGGACCUGGACUGGGCCUGGGGCUGUCCCCCAGUGUUAGAGAGCCUCUUCCUCCAGGAAGCCUCCCUGGAACACACUGCCUCCUCCCCCCUCCAGCACAGGGCAUGUUCAUCUGGGUGCUGGCUGUCACUGCAAGCUCAUGUCCUCCUAUAUUAGGCUCUGAGCUCUGGGCACAACUUCAGGCCACUAGGGGACUGGCGGCCUGAUUCCCCAGCAAACUGCUUCAUCUGUG
This 2046-nucleotide long non-coding RNA is filed under the name Vulpes vulpes (red fox). RNAcentral describes it as "lncRNA (ENSVVUG00000025004.1)". Lineage: Eukaryota; Metazoa; Chordata; Mammalia; Carnivora; Canidae. The record is from RNAcentral.